This 400-nucleotide ribosomal RNA is filed under the name uncultured bacterium. RNAcentral describes it as "bacterial SSU rRNA". It matches the Rfam family "Bacterial small subunit ribosomal RNA", at positions 355 to 771 of the family's 1533-position model. The record is from RNAcentral.
UAGGGAAUAUUGGUUAAUGUGCGAAAGCGCGAACCAGCAACGCCGCGUGUGCGAUGAAGGCCUUCGGGUUGUAAAGCACUUUUCGAGGGGAUGAGGAAGGACAGUACCCUCGGAAUAAGCCUCGGCUAACUACGUGCCAGCAGCCGCGGUAAAACGUAGGAGGCGAGCGUUAUCCGGAUUUACUGGGCGUAAAGCGCGUGCAGGCGGUUGUGUAAGUUGGAUGUGAAAGCUCCUGGCUUAACUGGGAGAGGUCGUUCAAUACUGCACAACUAGAGGAUGGGAGAGGGAGGCGGAAUUCCGGGUGUAGUGGUGAAAUGCGUAGAUAUCCGGAGGAACACCAGUGGCGAAAGCGGCCUCCUGGCCCAUAACUGACGCUCAUACGCGAAAGCUAGGGUAGCAA